Molecule: ribosomal RNA, 493 nt
Filed under: uncultured bacterium
Lineage: Bacteria
Description: partial 16S ribosomal RNA
Rfam family: Bacterial small subunit ribosomal RNA
Source: RNAcentral
AUUGAACGCUGGCGGCAUGCUUUACACAUGCAAGUCGAACGGUAACAGGUUAAGCUGACGAGUGGCGAACGGGUGAGUAAUGCAUCGGAACGUGCCCGAUCGUGGGGGAUAACGCAGCGAAAGCUGCGCUAAUACCGCAUACGAUCUGAGGAUGAAAGCGGGGGACCGUAAGGUCUCGCGCGAUCGGAGCGGCCGAUGUCAGAUUAGGUAGUUGGUGGGGUAAAGGCUCACCAAGCCGACGACCUGUAGCUGGUCUGAGAGGACGACCAGCCACACUGGGACUGAGACACGGCCCAGACUCCUACGGGAGGCAGCAGUGGGGAAUUUUGGACAAUGGGCGCAAGCCUGAUCCAGCAAUGCCGCGUGCAGGAAGAAGGCCUUCGGGUUGUAAACUGCUUUUGUACGGAGCGAAAAGGCUCUCUCUAAUACAGGGGGCUCAUGACGGUACCGUAAGAAUAAGCACCGGCUAACUACGUGCCAGCCGCCGCCGUAA